GCCCGAGUGGUGGAAUGGCAGACACAACGGACUUAAAAUCCGUUGACCGCAAGGUCGUGUGGGUUCGAGUCCCACCUCGGGCA
This 83-nucleotide transfer RNA is filed under the name Verrucomicrobiota bacterium. Its description in RNAcentral is "Verrucomicrobia bacterium (activated sludge metagenome) tRNA-Leu". It matches the Rfam family "tRNA". Rfam says of the family: Transfer RNA (tRNA) molecules are approximately 80 nucleotides in length. Their secondary structure includes four short double-helical elements and three loops (D, anti-codon, and T loops). Further hydrogen bonds mediate the characteristic L-shaped molecular structure. tRNAs have two regions of fundamental functional importance: the anti-codon, which is responsible for specific mRNA codon recognition, and the 3' end, to which the tRNAs corresponding amino acid is attached (by aminoacyl-tRNA synthetases). tRNAs cope with the degeneracy of the genetic code in two manners: having more than one tRNA (with a specific anti-codon) for a particular amino acid; and 'wobble' base-pairing, i.e. permitting non-standard base-pairing at the 3rd anti-codon position. The record is from RNAcentral. Lineage: Bacteria; Pseudomonadati; Verrucomicrobiota.